Immersiella caudata is the source of this 103-nucleotide non-coding RNA. The record is from the annotation of a GenBank genome assembly. Lineage: Eukaryota; Fungi; Ascomycota; Sordariomycetes; Sordariales; Lasiosphaeriaceae.
GCCCAGCUAGCUCAAUCGGUAGAGCGUGAGACUCUUAUGAGAAAGAAUCUCCGUAUCACCUCGAUAUAUAUCGAGGUUGUGGGUUCGACCCCCAGGUCGGGCU